UGAGUAACCUGCCCUUCACUCUGGGAUAACUCCGGGGAAACCGGGGCUAAUACUGGAUAUGACUCGAACAGGCAUCUGUUUCGGGUGGAAAGAUUUAUUGGUGGAGGAUGGACUCGCGGCCUAUCAGCUUGUUGGUGAGGUAAUGGCUCACCAAGGCGACGACGGGUAGCCGGCCUGAGGAGGGCGAUCCGGCCACACGUGGGACUGAGACACGGUCCAGACCUCCGUACGGGGAGGCA
This 239-nucleotide ribosomal RNA is filed under the name uncultured bacterium. RNAcentral describes it as "partial 16S ribosomal RNA". It matches the Rfam family "Bacterial small subunit ribosomal RNA", at positions 118 to 350 of the family's 1533-position model. The record is from RNAcentral.